AGUCGCCGCGGGAAUACAGAGGGUGCGAGCGUUAAUCGGAUUUACUGGGCGUAAAGCGUGCGUAGGCGGCUUCUUAAGUCGGAUGUGAAAUCCCUGAGCUUAACUUAGGAAUUGCAUUCGAUACUGGGAAGCUAGAGUAUGGGAGAGGAUGGUAGAAUUCCAGGUGUAGCGGUGAAAUGCGUAGAGAUCUGGAGGAAUACCGAUGGCGAAGGCAGCCAUCUGGCCUAAUACUGACGCUGAGGUACGAAAGCAUGGGGAGCAAACAGGAUUAGAUACCCCGGUAGUCCCUGUCUCUUAUACC
RNAcentral lists this ribosomal RNA (301 nucleotides) under uncultured bacterium. Its description in RNAcentral is "partial 16S ribosomal RNA". It matches the Rfam family "Bacterial small subunit ribosomal RNA", at positions 510 to 808 of the family's 1533-position model. The record is from RNAcentral.